AUUUUUUGUAUUUUUAGUAGAGACGGGGUUUCACCGUGUUAGCCAGGGUGGUCUCGAUCUCCUGACCUCUUGAUCCGCCCGCCUUGGCCUCCCAAAGUGAGUUUUUGUAUUUUUAAUGGAGAUGAGGUUUCACCAUGUUGGUCAGGCUGGUCUUGCACUCCUGACCUCAGGUGAUCUGCCUGCCUCUGCCUCCCAAAAUGCUGGCAUUACAGGCAUGACCCACGAUGCUUGGCCUCAAUUGUCUUCAAAAUCAACAAUCCUAUAUUGAAAAGUGAGGCCAGGCACAGUGGCUCAUGCCUGUAAACCCAGAACUUUGGGAGGCCAAGGUGGGUAGAUCGCUUGAGGUCAGGAGUUCAAGACCAACCUGGCCAACAUGGUGAAACCCCAUUUCUACUAAAAAUACAAAAUUAGCUGGAUGUGGUGGUAUGCACCUGUAAUCCCUGUUACUCUGGAGGCCGAGGCAGGAGAAUCACCUGAAUCCAGGAGUAGGAGGUUGCCAUGAGCUGAGACUGGGCCACUGCACUCCAGCCUGGACAACAAGGUGAGACCCCGUCUCAAGGCAAACAAACAAAUAAAUAAAUAAAUAAAGACAAUUGAACCUGAUUUUUCCCUUAGAUUCUCCAGAGAAAGAACUUCUAUAUGGAAAGAGGCAGAUUGCUGGAAGGAGUAAAUAAUUCACAGACAACUCAUAAGCCCUGAGCUCUGGUCUGUCUCUGCCAAUUAAAUGCUGUGGAACUUUUGGGUAAGUCAUUUAAAAUAUCUGGGUUUCAGAUGAUUCAGUUACAUAUGAGUGGGUCCAACCCUCGAAUCUUCUCACUUGUCUUAGUGAUGAUGAGCUAAUGAUGUCUGGUGGAGCCUCAUCUGUUGAGAUUUUGGAGGUGUGGGUUAAAGUUGUGUCCCUCAAAGCAUUUCUUCCUCUCAGGCAUACCAGAGGUGAGAUUCACAGACCACAAAGAUAGUAUGAAUUUAAACUGCAAAUGCAGGAGAAAAUGAUUCAUAGUUAGAAUUCUCAGAGUAAUAUUGGUUUUAAAGACAAUGUAACCUAGAGGACAAGAUGAGACCAGAAAGCUCUCUUGUCACACCUCUUUGCCAGUGGGUGGAUGUUAUUCCUAAUCUACCCUUUUACUGAAGUAUAAGCCUUUGAGGGUGCUGAUACUAGAUAACUUACACUCUAGCUUCCUACUAUAGAUUCAAGGCUUUAUCUCCUGUCCUCACAUGGCUGUUAAAAUAGUAGCCCCUCAGUUAUCAAGUCCAGCAACAUUUAUCAGGGCAGUCUGAGCUGCAUUUCUGUUUCAUUUCUGGCUUUGCCCCGAGGGAUUUCUCUUACUUUCUUGCAUGUUCAGUUAUAUAUUUAAAAGCAUGUUUAUUAUAUUUUGUCCAUCAUUUCCAGGUGUUUUUUGAUAGGAGGGUUCUCAGUUAAUUUACUAUAUUGCCAUAAAUGGAAGUCAGCCCUCUAAAUUCUAUGAUUCUGUGACUAUUAACCUCUUUUCUCCCAUUGAGCUAAUUUGGAUAUUUAUCUUAUUUCAUCUUGAUUCAUUGGGUGUUCUGACUCCAUGGUGUGUUGGAAAUAUCCUCAGUUCUCUUGGAGGAAUAUUAAUAAGAAAUUGCAUAAGUGAACCAAAAAAACCUAAAAGCUAAUGGCUGUAACUUUGAUAUUUACAUGUUGGGGCUGACCCUAGCAUGGAGAUAUUCAAUUGUCCUCCCUCUAAUAUUUCAGCCUAUGCCAUGAUACAGACCAUUAAGGUCACUUGUGUUGCUUUACUCGGCAAGUAUAACUUGUGAUAUACUUGUAAUAUUGUGAAAGAUUAAACUUAAAUGGCAAUAUUAAAUGUCAGCAAAAGUUAAAUCAGUGGUGUACUAAAGAGACUCCAGUUCUAUCUAAUGCCUAACAUAGGGAAGGUCUGACUGCCCUUUGGACUGGAUAUGAUCUUGGGUUUCUUAGACAUUGGAGGCUGAGGUACCUUAUCUACUGCCUCACAGUUCUGGAGGCUCUACAGCUGCUAUUAACAUGUCAGUAGGGUUGGUUUCUUCUGAGACCUCUCUCCUGGGCUUGCAGGUGGCCAUCUUCUCCCUGUGUCCCAACGUGGUCUUCCCUCUUUGUGUGUCUGUGCCCUAAUCUUUUUUUCUUAUAAGGAUACCAUUCAGAUUGGAUUAGGAUCCACUCGUAUAACCUCAUUUUACCUUAGUUAUCUAAAGACCCUAUUUCCAAAUACAGUCAUGUUUUGAGGUACUGGGUGGUAGGACUUCAAUAUUUGAAUUUGAGGGGACAAAAUUCACCCUUCAGGAAUGUAAAAGGUGGUCUGCUAAUAGGCCUAUGGAUUAUCAAGUCAUUUUUUUUUUAAAGAUAAGUGAUUGUAUUUCUUUCUAGAGCUAUUACAGUGGUUCAUACUGGCUUAACUUUAUUAUUCUCUUCCAUCAAUUUUCUAAUUUAAUAAAAGUUAAAACCUUCUAUUAUGAAAAAUUUCAAACUCUCACAAAAAUAGAGUAAAUAGUAUAAUGAAUUCAGUGUCCUCACUGCCUAGUAUUAUGGGUUGAAUUGUGUUUCCCAAAAAUUCAUAUGAUGAAGUCCUAACCCCCAGCACCUCAGAAUGUGACUGUAUUUGGAGAUAGGGUCUUCAGAUAAUUAAGGUAAAAUGAGGUCCAUGAGUGGACCUAAUCCAACCUGACUGGUAUUCUUACAAGAAGAGGAGAUUAGGACACAGACACACACAGAGAGAAGAUCAUGUGGGGACAUAAGAAGAUGGCCAUCUACAAGCCGAGGAGAGGGGCCUCAGAAGAAACCAAUGCUGCUAACAUCUUGCUAUCAGUUACCUAGCCCCCAGAACUGUGAGACAGUACAUUCUGUUUUUUAAACCACAGAAGACACGUAUUGCAUGACUAUUUUUUUUAAGUCCAGAAUAGGCAAAUCUGUAGAGAUAGAACAUAGAUAAGUGAUUGCAUAGGGCUUAUAAGUUGGAGGUAAUUGGAAAGUGACUGCCAGUGGGUAUCAGGUUUCAUUUUGGGGUAAUGAAAAUGUUUGAAAAUUGACUGUUGUGAUGGUUGCCCAACUCUAUAAAUAUACUACAAAACAUUGCACUAUACAAAUUAAAUGUGUGCAUUGUAUGAUGUGAAUUAAAUUCCAGUAAGCCUGUUUUUAAAGACUCAAAGAAAAUUAAAGAAUGACUGAAAACUUUCCAAGUUUGAUGAAAAUUAUAAUGCUACAAAUCCAAGAAUCUCAAAAAACCUUAAGCACAAGAAAGGUUAAGAACAUGACCCCACGCCGGGUGCGGUGGCUCAUGCCUGUAAUCCCAGCACUUUGGGAGGCUGAGGCGGGUGAGCCACUUGAGGUCAGAAGUUCGAGACCAGCCUGACCAACAUGGAGAAACCCUGUCUCUACUAAAAAUACAAAAUUAGCCAGGUGUGGUGGCACAUGCCUGUAAUCCCAGCUACUUGGGAGGCUGCCGCAGGAGAAUUGCUUGAACCGGGAGGCAGAGGUUGUGGUGAGCCAAGACUGUGCUAUUGCACUCCAGCCUGGGUGACAGAGCAAGACUCCAACAAAACAAAAACAAAAACAAAAACAAAAAAAGAAACAAAAACAAAAACACAUGACCCCAAAGCGCAACAUCAUCAAAUUGCUUAAAAUUAGUGAUUUGGGUCCUCUGGAAUUAAAAGAAAAGAGAGAGAGAAACUAGUGAUAAGAAGAAAGCAGUCAGAGGGAGUUGGGGAAUGACGUUGUUUACGGAAGGAUGACAACAGAUUUCUUCUCAGAAAAAAUGUAAACCAGAAGACAGUGGUACUACAUUUUUGAAGUUUAAGUGCUGCUUGACUUAUGAUGGGGUUAUGUUCCAAAAAACUCAUCAUAAAUUGAAAAUAUCAUGUCUAAAAUACACUUUCAACUUACAUUUUUGAUUUAUGAUGUGUUUAUCUAGACAUAAUUCCAUCAUUAGUCAAGGAAUGUACUGAAUGUGUUUCACUUUUACACCAUCAUAAAAUUAAAAAGUCGUAAGUCAGGGAAAAUCUGUACUGCAAGAAAAACACUGUUAACCUAGAUAUCUUUGCCUAGUGAAAAUAUCUUUCAGAAAUGAAGAUGAGAUAAAGGCUUUUCAUACCAACAAAAGUGGAAAGAAUUCAUCAUAAGAAGACUUGAGUGAGAAGAAAUGCUAAGAAAGCUCUUCAAGUAGAAGAAAAUGAUACCAGAUGGAAAUCUGGAUCUCCACAAAGGAACAAAAAGUAUUGAGAAUGGGAACUAUCCUAUGUGGUGCUGGGGAUGCCAGAGUUGGAAUUCAAGACCCAGGGAGAAGGGCUUCAGUCAGCACUCCAGUACCUCAGCUGGGAAUCCUGGAGGCUAUACCCUAUGUAUGGGGAAAAUGAGAGGUAGAUGGAAACUAAAAAACAAACAAACAAACCAGUCCCUGAUUAGUUGUGACUUUAUCUGCCUACCAGAAAAUAGGACUAGCCCUCUCUGGAAGAUGAUAGCAUUAUCCAGAACCUCAUACACAAAAUUUACCCAGGACACUCAUGAAGAGGAGGAAGAAAAGACAACAUAAACAGACAUACAGGUCACCUACUUAUUGGAGUUAACAGAUGGAUGUUCAAAUCUGUAUUAUUCUUAUAUUCAAGAGAAUGAAUGACAAAGAGUAGAAUUCCACUGGAGAACUAGUUAACCAAGGCUAGAUGGCUUCAUUGAAAGACUUUGUCAAGCAUGAAUAAAGCCACUAUAAAUAUUCUUGCACAAGUCUCUUUGUGAAUACAUUUUUAUUCCUUUAGGUAAACGCCUAGCGGAGGAAUUGCUGGGUCAUACAUAGGGUAGGAGUAUUAUAACCUUAUAAGAAACUGUCAAAUGGUUUCCAAAAUGGUUUCACCCAUUUAUAUUCCCACAGACUUUAUUCAUAAUAACCAAUCCUGAGGGAAAAUCUAUAAUGUUCGUCAAAAGAAGGAAAUCCUGGCUGUGCCUAUAAUCACAGCAUUCUGGGAGGCCAAGGCAGGAGGAUCACUUGAGCCCGGGAGUUCAAGACCAGCCUGUGCAACAUAAAAAUGGUAACUCAUCAAACCUGCAGCAGAAGGCAACUUUUCAACUCUCAGUCAAUUUGAUCAACAUUCAGCAUCCAUCAAAUGAAGGAUUGGGAGUGAUAACCUUAAAAAAUCCUGCUAGGCUGCUGGUUAUUGAUUCUCUGUUCAGCCUGAUGGAUGAAGAUGCAAAGGCAACAAGUGAAAGUGCAAACCUGGCUGCCGGCCUCCUUCAUACCACGUUAGGUUAGGCAGGACUUGUGUCUGAAAAGCACCAUUGUUAGUUUUACCAAAAAUGCACUGCUGUCAUCACGACCAAUCAGAAUGUCACCCUAGCUGGAGAUCUGCUCCUCCUGGCCUUUCCUUGGGAUUUUCAGAAAAGCUCAGAAAACAAUUUACAAUAAAACUUAAUUACUUUUA
This 5406-nucleotide long non-coding RNA is filed under the name Homo sapiens (human). Its description in RNAcentral is "HSALNT0299294". Lineage: Eukaryota; Metazoa; Chordata; Mammalia; Primates; Hominidae. The record is from RNAcentral.